GAGGGGAGAGGGAGAGGAGGGAGAGAGAGGGGGAGAGAGGAGAGGAGGGAGAGAGAUAGAGAGAGAGAGAAAUACAUUUAACCAAAAUAAAUGGACCACGACCUGAACAAAUCUAGAAGGCUACAAUCAUCCUCCAGUCCUCUAUCUGAAUCAUCUUUUUUCUCCCCUGAAAUCAUGGAGGAUUCAGAGGAUUCCUGAUUUCCUGCCGAUUCAGAAGAUUCCUGAUUCCCUGCCGAUUCCCUCUCGUUUCAGAGGAUUCCUGAUUUCCUGCAGAUUCAGAAGUUUCCUGAUUCCCUGCCCCCUCUCCAUGAUUAACUCUAGUUGAAGGCUGACUGGGGUACUGCAGGCUAGCUCAGUGCUGCCCCCUCUCCAUGAUUAACUCUAGUUGAAGGCUGACUGGGGUACUGCAGGCUAGCUCAGUGCUGCCCCCUCUCGUUGAUUAACUCUAGUUGAAGGCUGACUGGGGUACUGCAGGCUAGCUCAGUGCUGCCCCCUGAGAGGAAUGAAUGGUGUCACGUAGAGGAGGUGAGUGGAGGGGAAGGGAGAGGAGAGGAAUGAAUGGUGUCACGUAGAGGAGGUGAGUGGAGGGGAAGGGAGAGGAGAGGAAUGGUGUCACGUAGAGGAGGUGAGUGGAGGGGAAGGGAGAGGAGAGGAAUGAAUGGUGUCACGUAGAGGAGGUGAGUGGAGGGGAAGGGAGAGGAGAGGAAUGAAUGGUGUCACGUAGAGGAGGUGAGUGGAGGGGAAGGGAGAGGAGAGGAAUGAAUGGUGUCACGUAGAGGAGGUGAGUGGAGGGGAAGGGAGAGGAGAGGAAUGAAUGGUGUCACG
Long non-coding RNA from Oncorhynchus keta (chum salmon), 825 nucleotides. RefSeq lists it as uncharacterized. NCBI's taxonomy places the organism in Eukaryota, Metazoa, Chordata, Actinopteri, Salmoniformes, Salmonidae. The transcript is spliced from 5 exons. The record is from RefSeq and is a predicted model, not a curated record.